CUGAUAAUAACCCAGUAAAGUUGAUUCUCUCAUUACCUCCUAUUUUGCAGAUGAGAAAACUGAGGAAGGCAGAGGCUAGUGACUUACUCAAGGUCACACAACUAGGUGAUAUGGUCUUGUUUAUAUCUCAUGACAUCUCAUUGACAAAAGAGAGCUAAAGACAACUGAUCAAGUCUUAGAAACUGGAACUGUUCCUGCUUCUCCCCUCCCUCCAUGGUAAAUUAGUUAAUUUGAAGCCAUCCCUUGGUAUCAUCCAGAGGAUGGGAUUCACUGA
This 274-nucleotide long non-coding RNA is filed under the name Monodelphis domestica (gray short-tailed opossum). RNAcentral describes it as "lncRNA (ENSMODG00000036018.2)". Lineage: Eukaryota; Metazoa; Chordata; Mammalia; Didelphimorphia; Didelphidae. The record is from RNAcentral.